UCCGUAGGCGGGCAAUUAAGUCAGAGGUGAAAUCCCACAGCUCAACUGUGGAACUGCCUUUGAUACUGGUUGUCUUGAGUUACAGUGAAGUAGAUAGAAUAUGUAGUGUAGCGGUGAAAUGCAUAGAUAUUACAUAGAAUACCGAUUGCGAAGGCAGUCUACUAACUGUCGACUGACGCUAAGGGACGAAAGCGUGGGGAGCAAACAGGAUUAGAUACCCUGGUAGUCC
RNAcentral lists this ribosomal RNA (229 nucleotides) under uncultured bacterium. RNAcentral describes it as "partial 16S ribosomal RNA". It matches the Rfam family "Bacterial small subunit ribosomal RNA", at positions 568 to 796 of the family's 1533-position model. The record is from RNAcentral.